UACGGAGGGUGCAAGCGUUAUCCGGAAUCACUGGGUUUAAAGGGUGCGUAGGCGGAAUAUUAAGUCAGUGGUGAAAUCCUGUCGCUUAACGAUAGAAUUGCCAUUGAUACUGAUAUUCUUGAAUUGGGUUGAGGUUAGCGGAAUGUGACAUGUAGCGGUGAAAUGCAUAGAUAUGUCAUGGAACACCAAUUGCGAAGGCAGCUAGCUGGGCCUUGAUUGACGCUGAGGCACGAAAGCGUGGGUAGCGAACAGGAUUAGAUACCCUGGUAGUCCACGCCCUAAACGAUGCUAACUCGAUGUUUGGUUGAAAGAUUGAGCAUCCAAGGGAAACCGAUAAGUUAGCCACCUGGGGAGUACGACCGCAAGGUUGAA
This 372-nucleotide ribosomal RNA is filed under the name uncultured bacterium. Its description in RNAcentral is "bacterial SSU rRNA". It matches the Rfam family "Bacterial small subunit ribosomal RNA", at positions 524 to 898 of the family's 1533-position model. The record is from RNAcentral.